UGGAAGACUAUAAAAGGAUGUCAUACACAGCUCUGUUCCAACAGCGUCUGUUGGUAGCCUUUGCCUCCAGCUUCGCACAGUCGGCUUCUUCGGCUGCUGGUGGUUCAUGGCCUCCUUUUCAGGGAAGAUCAACGUCCCCAUACACAUAGCCUAUUUCUCUCCACAUGAUGUGUAUUCUAUAAACUUUAUGCUCGACUUGCUCAACCCUGGCAUAACAAUGCGCGACCCUGAAUAAUAGAAGCUUGCUACCCAUUGAUGGAUCUCUGGACAUUCUUCAGGCCUGAAACAGUUACGAUGCUGCCCGUUUCCCAAGAAGCUCUGUUUUUCCCUGUGUACCUUUAACCAGUCAUUAAUCUUUUGCUCAUUUACACCGCAGUGUAUUCUUUCCCUUUCUGAAUUUGCUUAAUGUAUGGGUUCUUUCAUGCCACUGUCCCCCACCCCACCCAAUAAAUCUAAC
Non-coding RNA from Podarcis muralis (Common wall lizard), 457 nucleotides. Lineage: Eukaryota; Metazoa; Chordata; Lepidosauria; Squamata; Lacertidae. The record is from RefSeq and is a predicted model, not a curated record.